RNAcentral lists this long non-coding RNA (883 nucleotides) under Olea europaea (common olive). RNAcentral describes it as "long non-coding RNA (OEUR_LNC004961)". Lineage: Eukaryota; Viridiplantae; Streptophyta; Magnoliopsida; Lamiales; Oleaceae. The record is from RNAcentral.
ACCUGAGAAUAACCAAAAGAAACUUUAUGCCGUUAACUGGGAAUUUAGUGAAAGGCUGGAUAAUGAAAAGGAACAAAAUCUGAAAAAAUUCCCCUUAAACUCCAAGAUUAACCGAUAGCACAAUAUUUUAAAGAAAUCAGUAUCUAUAGUUCAAGAUCGAGAUAUCAUUCAGUGAUUACUCUAACAACAACAAAAUUUGAAACAAAAUAAAUGGUUGAUCAACAUUUCAAUAUUUCUUAACAUUAAAAGACAAUACUGGGGCUAGGGGUGGGGGGACACAUGCACCAAAGCAAAUUGCACCAGAAGUCCAUUAAUGACACUUAUCAACCAUGGAAAAUUGAAAAUAACAGAGAAUGGAUUAAAUAAAGCCACCGAUAAUUGAAAACAGCACAAAACUCAGUAUUGACAUGAAAUUUUUUCAUUCUAAACAAAACCCAAUAACAAUAAACAGAAUCAUAACCCAAUAUUUUAAAGAAAUCAGUAUCCAUAGUUCAAGAUCGAGAUAUCAUUCAGUGAUUACUCUAACAACAGAAAAAUUCGAAACAAAAUAAAUGGUUGAUCAACAUUUCAUAUGUGAACAUUAUAAGACAAUACUGGGGCUAGGGGUGGGGGGACACAUGCACCAAAGCAAAUUGCACCAGAAGUCCAUCAAUGACACUUAUCAACCAUGAAAAAUUGAAAAUAACAGAGAAUGGAUUAAAUAAAGCCACUGAUAAUUGAAAACAACACAAAACUCAGUAUUGACAUGAAAUUUUUUCAUUUUAAACAAAACCCAAUAACAACAAACAGAAUCAUAACCCAUUUAACCACAGAAAUCAUCAAUCCCUUUAUGCAUCACUUUCUAAUUUCCGAAAACAAUUUAUCAGAACUUGUAAUUUUCUUG